RNAcentral lists this ribosomal RNA (271 nucleotides) under uncultured Pseudomonas sp. Its description in RNAcentral is "partial 16S ribosomal RNA". It matches the Rfam family "Bacterial small subunit ribosomal RNA", at positions 1114 to 1382 of the family's 1533-position model. The record is from RNAcentral. Lineage: Bacteria; Pseudomonadati; Pseudomonadota; Gammaproteobacteria; Pseudomonadales; Pseudomonadaceae.
GUUGCCAGCACGUUAUGGUCGGGCACUCUAAGGAGACUGCCGGUGGACAAACCGGAGGAAGGUGGGGAUGACGUCAAGUCAUCAUGGCCCUUACGGCCUGGGCUACACACGUGCUACAAUGGUCGGUACAAAGGGUUGCCAAGCCGCGAGGUGGAGCUAAUCCCAUAAAACCGAUCGUAGUCCGGAUCGCAGUCUGCAACUCGACUGCGUGAAGUCGGAAUCGCUAGUAAUCGUGAAUCAGAAUGUCACGGUGAAUACGUUCCCGGGCCUU